Molecule: ribosomal RNA, 897 nt
Filed under: uncultured bacterium
Lineage: Bacteria
Description: bacterial SSU rRNA
Rfam family: Bacterial small subunit ribosomal RNA
Source: RNAcentral
UGCUCGAAGAUCUUAGUGGCGGACGGGUGAGUAACGCGUGGGCAAUCUGCCCGUAAGAGGGGGAUAACACCUAGAAAUGGGUGCUAAUACCGCAUAACAUCAUAGGGUUGCAUGACCUUGUGAUCAAAGGAGAAAUCCGCUUACGGAUGAGCCCGCGUCUGAUUAGCUAGUUGGUGGGGUAACGGCCUACCAAGGCGACGAUCAGUAGCCGGCCUGAGAGGGUGAUCGGCCACACUGGAACUGAGACACGGUCCAGACUCCUACGGGAGGCAGCAGUGGGGAAUCUUCCGCAAUGGGCGAAAGCCUGACGGAGCAACGCCGCGUGAGUGAUGAAGGCCUUCGGGUUGUAAAACUCUGUCUUCAGGGAAGAAAAAAAUGACGGUACCUGAGGAGGAAGCCACGGCUAACUACGUGCCAGCAGCCGCGGUAAUACGUAGGUGGCAAGCGUUGUCCGGAAUUACUGGGCGUAAAGAGCGCGUAGGCGGGGAUUUAAGUCAGGAGUGAAAACUACCGGCUCAACCGGUAGCCUGCUCUUGAAACUGAAUCUCUUGAGGGUAUGAGAGGAAAGCGGAAUUCCCAGUGUAGCGGUGAAAUGCGUAGAUAUUGGGAGGAACACCAGUGGCGAAGGCGGCUUUCUGGCAUACAACUGACGCUGAGGCGCGAAAGCGUGGGGAGCAAACGGGAUUAGAUACCCCGGUAGUCCACGCCGUAAACGAUGGGCACUAGGUGUAGGAGGUAUCGACCCCUUCUGUGCCGUAGUUAACACAAUAAGUGCCCCGCCUGGGGAGUACGGCCGCAAGGUUGAAACUCAAAGGAAUUGACGGGGGCCCGCACAAGCGGUGGAGUAUGUGGUUUAAUUCGACGCAACGCGAAGAACCUUACCAGGGCUUGACAUCC